UAGUCCACGCCGUAAACGAUGUCAACUAGCUGUUAAAUUCCAGAUUUAGUGGCGUAGCUAACGCGUUAAGUUGACCGCCUGGGAAGUACGGCCGCAAGGUUAAAACUCAAAUGAAUUGACGGGGACCCGCACAAGCGGUGGAGCAUGUGGUUUAAUUCGAUGCAACGCGAAAAACCUUACCUACUCUUGACAUCUUCGGAAAGUUUCGUAAUGAAACUGUGCCUUCGGGAACCGAAUGACAGGUGUUGCAUGGCUGUCGUCAGCUCGUGUUGUGAAAUGUUGGGUUAAGUCCCGUAACGAGCGCAACCCUCGUCCUUAGCUGCUAACAUUAAGUUGAGAACUUUAGGGAGACCGCCAGUGAUAAAUUGGAGGAAGGAGAGGACGACGUCAAGUCAUCAUGGCCCUUACGAGUAGGGCUACACACGUGCUACAAUGGUUGGUACAAAGGGUUGCCAAAGCGCAAGCUGGAGCUAAUCUCAUAAAGCCAAUCGUAGUCCGGAUUAGAGUCUGCAACUCGACUCUA
RNAcentral lists this ribosomal RNA (523 nucleotides) under uncultured bacterium. RNAcentral's name for it is "bacterial SSU rRNA". It matches the Rfam family "Bacterial small subunit ribosomal RNA", at positions 791 to 1320 of the family's 1533-position model. The record is from RNAcentral.